ACAAAUCCUGCCCCACCCCCACCACUUACAUUCCGGCCCUGGAUAAGUGCGCUUUGUUUUAAAGUACCUUUAAAGUAUAACUGAAGCCAAAACUUUAUUUUUAUUUUUUUAUUUUGCAUAGUGUAGGGAAGGGUUAAAACUUGUCAGUUUUGUUUUGUUUGUUUUUUGGUCUGUCUGUGAGUCCUUAGGGAGAUUUCAGUGUUAUCAUCAUCUACCAAUCAUCUCUUGUGACAUGCUUACUCACAUGUAGACAAGACAGCAUGUAAACAUGGUCAGCUGACCAGGCCAUGUGACUUAGAGGAAAAAGUCCAUCAACAGUCUGCAGGCAGUCAGAGAAGCUUCAAGUUCAUAAAGUUGAACAUGACACGAAAGUGACUCCAGACUUUGAAGGAAGAUCAUAACAGAACACCUGACUAUCGCUCACAAAGAUUGGUCUUACUUUGGAAGGAAGAUGUUU
This is a long non-coding RNA of Rana temporaria (common frog), 457 nucleotides long. RefSeq lists it as uncharacterized. The transcript is spliced from 3 exons. Lineage: Eukaryota; Metazoa; Chordata; Amphibia; Anura; Ranidae. The record is from RefSeq and is a predicted model, not a curated record.